UCAAAUGACUUCUAAAGAGAAUUUCUAACCCAUAAUAAGGCUUGUGGCAGCCUCCUUGAAGCCCAUUGGGCAUGGCCUUCAACCAAUAAGAAUAAAGAUUCCCAUUCCUUGCCUUCAUCCAACCAUGCCUUGCUUUUAUCCCUUCCAAUAAGCCUCCUACUAAUUAAUAUUUUUAUCUUUAGGCUCUAAUCUCCUCUCAAGGCUUCAUAUUAAACAUUUAGGUCCUAUA
Molecule: long non-coding RNA, 229 nt
Filed under: Physcomitrium patens
Lineage: Eukaryota; Viridiplantae; Streptophyta; Bryopsida; Funariales; Funariaceae
Description: long non-coding RNA (PPAT_LNC008900)
Source: RNAcentral